RNAcentral lists this ribosomal RNA (540 nucleotides) under uncultured Geobacteraceae bacterium. Its description in RNAcentral is "bacterial SSU rRNA". It matches the Rfam family "Bacterial small subunit ribosomal RNA", at positions 9 to 526 of the family's 1533-position model. The record is from RNAcentral. Lineage: Bacteria; Pseudomonadati; Thermodesulfobacteriota; Desulfuromonadia; Geobacterales; Geobacteraceae.
GAGUUUGAUCCUGGCUCAGAACGAACGCUGGCGGCGUGCCUAACACAUGCAAGUCGAACGUGAUCCAGAGCCUGCUCUGGUGAAAGUGGCGCACGGGUGAGUAACGCGUGGAUAACCUACCCUGGUAUCCGGGAUAACAUUCCGAAAGGGGUGCUAAUACCGGAUAAGCCCACGGGCUCUUUGGAGCUUGCGGGAAAAGGUGGCCUCUAUUUAUAAGCUACUGUAUCAGGAUGGGUCCGCGUACCAUUAGCUAGUUGGCGGUGUAACGGACCACCAAGGCGACGAUGGUUAGCUGGUCUGAGAGGAUGAUCAGCCACACUGGAACUGAGACACGGUCCAGACUCCUACGGGAGGCAGCAGUGGGGAAUUUUGCGCAAUGGGGGAAACCCUGACGCAGCAACGCCGCGUGAGUGAUGAAGGCCUUUGGGUCGUAAAGCUCUGUCAGAGGGGAAGAAAUGAUAUAGUGCUAAUACCACUUUAUCUUGACGGUACCCUCAAAGGAAGCACCGGCUAACUCCGUGCCAGCAGCCGCGGUAAUAC